Molecule: ribosomal RNA, 253 nt
Filed under: uncultured bacterium
Lineage: Bacteria
Description: partial 16S ribosomal RNA
Rfam family: Bacterial small subunit ribosomal RNA
Source: RNAcentral
GACGAACCGAGCGAACGUUGUUCGGAAUCACUGGGCGUAAAGGGUGCGUAGGCGGGUCUUUAAGUCAGGGGUGAAAUCCUGGAGCUCAACUCCAGAACUGCCUUUGAUACUGAGGAUCUUGAGUUCGGGAGAGGUGAGUGGAACUGCGAGUGUAGAGGUGAAAUUCGUAGAUAUUCGCAAGAACACCAGUGGCGAAGGCGGCUCACUGGCCCGAUACUGACGCUGAGGCACGAAAGCGUGGGGAGCAAACAGG